CCUAGGACAUCAGUUGAUGUUGACAUGCAGAAAAUAGUCAGUGGGGGAUGAAACUGCAUCCAGGGAUUUAACAUCUGAACUUGAGCCAAGAAAAUGCCAAAGAGUAAAGGUUACCCAAUGGACACGGGUUUGAGCAAACUCUGGAGAUAGUGGAGGACAGGGAAGCCUGGCGUGCUGCAGUCCACAAGGUCACAGCGUUGGACAUGACUUAACUGACAACAGGAAAAGGCUACCCAAAUUGGCAAUUCUUUAUAUUCAUCCACCUAGCUAUCCAUCUACAUAUCUCUCUAUACGUGCAUCCACCCACCCGUUCAUCCACCUACACAUCCAUCCAUCCAUCCAUCGAGCCAUCCAUCCACCUCUCAAUAAUUCUUCCUCCUGACUCUGUACUGGGUACUGUUUUAACCUCCCAGAUGUCUCUUGUUCCCAUGGAACUCACAGUCUGUAGACAGGAGCCAGAGUAAACAAACACUCAAAAUCAAUCAAUAAAGAAGAAAACAUCAGCGUCAGCUACUGAUAAGUGUUACCAAGAAAAUACACCACGAUGAUGGGAUAGAGAAUGGAGAAGUGGGAGAGAGGACCGCGUGAGAACAGAAGUGAACCCCAUAUGCACAGAGAAGACACCGCCACUUCCUCUCUGCCAAUCCCACUGCGUGUCCUAGGAAUCUUGCUUUUCCUCCGGGCUCACCAGUGGAACCCAGUGUGAUUUGAAGGAUUUGGACAUAUUCCUGUGAUUAUGGUGUUGCCUGCUGAUGGGGUCAUUUAAGAUGGUACCACCUGCACUUUUCUCUGUUAGUAACUCUCUUUGUAAGUGUCACUCUACGACUUCGUAACACUCUGACGAGGGAUCACAGCAUGUUUUAUGUCAUUGUCCCCAUUUUCCUGAGCAUUUGUUUCCAGUCUUUAUCAUUAUAAGUGUUGGAGAAGACUCUUGAGAGUCCCUUGGACUGCAAGGAGAUCCAACUGGUCCAUUCUGAAGGAGAUCAGCCCUGGGAUUUCUUUAGAGGGAAUGAUGCUAAAGCUGAAACUCCAGUACUUUGGCCACCUCAUGGGAAGAGUUGACUCAUUGGAAAAGACUCUGAUGCUGGGAGGGAUUGGGGGCAGGAGGAGAAGGGGACGACAGAGGAUGAGAUGGCUGGAUGGCAUCACCGACUCGAUGGACGUGAGUCUGAGUGAACUCCGGGAGUUGGUGAUGGACAGGGAGGCCUGGCGUGCUGUGAUUCAUGGGGUCGCAAAGAGUCGGACACGACUGAGCGACUGAUCUGAUCUGAUCUGAAUACUCCCAGCAACAUCUUUGUGCCUAGAUGAGUUUUGCUGGAUCUUAAAUUACUUACUUCUGGUCGACCGCUACAGGUGGAAUGGACAUCUUGGCGGCGGUUAUGUAUUUUUAAAGGAAAAGGUUUGGUCAGGGUUUGAACAAUGUGGUCACCCUGAGGUUCUGCUUUUUCUGACUGGUCUAGAAUCUCGAUCUCUGGAUUGCCCUCUCAGAGAGAACCAUCCUAGAGGAACUUGCCAUUCAGUUCACCACCUUUACACAAAUCACACUCUCUCCUCCUUCUAACCCUUCUAACAUCGAACCCUUGUAACUUACUUGCCGGCACACUGCACCAGAUCCACUGAGGACUGACUUCUGUUUCAGAACUUACAUACCAGCUCAACCGUUUAUCAUUUUGCCUGACCCUUCUGAGUUCAUCAACUUGCCUCUGAUAUAUGGCAAAACCUAACUUCUUUGCUUGAAGAAGCAUUCCAGGGGUGGAACCCUCAAAUCAGCUCACUCACCUCUGUGGUGCAGCCUUCAAGCUGGUGAGGAGAACUGUAAUAUUGCCCAGCUAAGGCCAAUGGAACGGACUUCCCAGGUGGCCCAGUGGGUAGGAAUCCUCCUUGCAGUGCAGGGGACUUGGGCUCAAUCCCUGGUCUGGGAAGAUCCCACAUGCCUUGGGGCCACUAAGACCAUGCCAGAACUAAGACAAGAUGCAACCAGAUACAUUUUUAAAAACUCAAAAAAGUAUUUUAUGACAUGUAAAAUCAGAUGGCCUCCAGGCUGUGCAGCUCAACUACUGUUCCUGCCUUCUAGACCAACCAGCCGCAGCCCACGUGCCACUGCUAGAGAGUCUGCUCACUGCAACAAAGACCCCAACACAGGCAAAUAAAGAAAACAGCUAAAUAUUAAAAAUAAUAAUAAUAAAGCCUCUGGGAGAUCCAGGGGGCAUAUUCCUCUGUUCCUGUCUGCUGCUGUUCAGUGGUUUUAUGUCCUGAAAACAUCUUCCUGAAUAUAACCAAGAGCCGAAUUAUCUCCUGGUCUCUUAUGUCCAAUCAGGUAACUGUAUACACGGGCUUCCCUGUGGCUCAGACAGUAAAGAAUCUGCCCGCAAUGCAGGACUCUUGGGUUCAAUCCUUGGGUCAAGAAGAUCCCCCUGGAGAAGGGAAUGGCAACCCACUCCAGUAUUCUCACCUGGAGAAUCCCAUGGACAGAGGAGCCUGGAGGAAUACAGUCCAUGGGGUCACAGAGUCAGACACGACUGAGCGACUACACACACACACGCUGUAUGUUCAGCCCCGCAAACGCAUCCACGUGCACACACGUGGAUGUCUUCUGACCGACUUCAGAAGAGCACGGGCUGACCCCAAUCCAGGAAUGGCUGGUAGCCACCCUCUCUGUUAGAGGGCUCAGCUGGCUCUUUGGCGCCAGCCUGUGGCGUGCCCUCUGUGGAGACAGGUCUUCAGUCUGGGAUCCUGGGGCCCGGUGGAUAUCAGAAGUGACUCACCUGCCCUCUCUUCUCAUUUUCGGAGACAGUUACCUCCUGUGUCAAGUGACAGUGGUGAAAUUCCCUACCUGCCUCCUUUUCAAAAUGAAUAAAAAUCUGAUGCAUCCAGAAAAAUCCAUUUGGAGCCGAUCUCCAUGCUUUUAUAAAUCGGGCGUCAUUUGCCUCACAGCGAUAGCAAACUUGCUUGACUGCCAGAAGGGGCCUUAGAGCUCGUCUUGAGAGCUGGUUCGAGAUUGUAGCUGGGGGUCACAGACAGCCACUUCUAAACUCUUGACUGAUGGGCCGCCCUUGGUCUGGGGACAGCAGCGUCUGCAACUGUCAGUACAGAUCUGGGAGAGAUGCACAGGCAGGGGAAGGAAGGCAGGCCGAGGUGGCCAUCGAGGUGGACUCAGGGCCCACAGAGACCGCCGAGGGAAAGCUGUGCCCGUUUCCUCCUCGAGUGGGAAGCGGGGCAGCGUGGAGGAAGACAGCCCCGUGCGUCAAGCCCUCUGCAGGGGACCGGGCAUGAGCGAUGAGCAACACUGAGAACCAUGAACGUCAGCUAGCUGGAUCUCCCGAUGAACUGCAGUGACCAAGAGGAAGAUGAGCACAGCAGAUAGCUCCCGCCCCAACCUGAAAAGCAUCCAUUUCACCCUGUGCUUUACCGGUGAGGACAAUGAACCUCAGGCCACCUGAUGGCUUAUCCAAGGCACAUUAGAACUUAAGCUCGGCCCUCUUGACCCACAGCUAGACGGUUACCCUGCCUGCCACUAAUUCAGGCCACCAUCUUGCCCUCUGGGCAAAGAAGCACCAGGAGCCUGCUGCUGCUACUGCUAAGUCGCUUCAGUCGUGUCCGACUCUGUGCGACCCCAUAGACGGCAGCCCACUAGGCUCCCCCGUCCCUGGGAUUCUCCAGGCAAGAACACUGGAGUAGGUUGCCAUUUCCUUCUCCAAUGCGUGAAAGUGAAAAGUGAAAGUGAAGUCGCUCAGUCAUGUCCGACUCUUAGCGACCCCAUGACUGCAGCCCACCAGGCUCCUCCAAGUGAGAUGAAUAACAAGCCCUGUCCCCAGCAUGGGGACAUGGCCCUGGGUCUCUAGACGAGGACAGCCAGGUUUCCUGGCAGCCCGAUCACCUGUUCGGAGUCCCAGACACUGCUUCCCACAUCUGUUCGCCAGCACCCAGUGGGUACAACCCUCAAAUGCAUGAUUCUCAGCAAACAACCUAGGUGAAAUUUAGACAGUACACCUUUAAGCCUUAAAAAUCUCCCCACUGGUACUUUCAUGAGUCUAUAGAUAGGAUAAACUGUCACAGAACUAUACACCAAACAUAAAACAGUGCAUGAGGAAAGGGAUGCUUUCUGAAUAAGGCAUUUAGAUCAGCUAGUAGCAUCUCACCAGAGCCAGUUUCCUGACUCUGCUGUCGUCCUGUGGUUAUUUAAGGUACGAUCAUUGCAUGGGGCUAUAUUUACUAUUUUUGCUAUGUUUCUGUGACUCUGACAUUAUUUCAGAAUAAAAAUAAAAAUAUGAGGCCCACGCUUUGCCUCAUUCUUCCAGAAAUUAUCCCAAGGAAAUAAAGAUGCCUACAGAAAGCUUCCCUGGGGAUCCAGUGGUCAGCAACCCACCUGCCGAUGCAGGGGACAUGGGUUCGAACCCUGCUCUGGGAAGAUUCCACAGGCUGUGGGGCAACUAAGCCUGAGAGCGGCAUCUACUGAGCCCACGGGCCACAACUCCUGAAGCCGGCGGCCCUGGAGCCUGGGCUCCGCAACAAGAGAAGCCACCGCAACGAGAGGCCCGCUCACCGCAACUGGAGAAUAACCCCCGCUCACCGCAACUAGACAAAGCCCACAGCCCACGAGCAGCAACGCAGACUCAGCACAGCCACAAGUAUAAAAUAAAUACAUCUUUUUAGAAAAAGAUACAGAGACAGCCCUAAUAGCGAUCAUAGGAGGUUUUAAAGGAAACUCUUCACUGACUGUGGGAGUACUAAGCAUAGAGCACCCAGUGGUAAGGACAGUGGUCACAGUGGGGACUGUGCCUUGCUUGGGUGGACCUAGCAAGGCUGUCUCUGCUGGACCGCAGGUGAGCUCUUUAAUGCGGUGCCCCCUGGGCUUUGCAGCUGUAAGAUGAAUGUGCUAUAAUAAAGUCUCCCUUGUCCGGGUGGAUGGACGUGCGGAACAGAGCCUGGCACGUUUUACGCUCUCAGUAAAUAUGAGCUAUUAUCCUGUUGAAGAAGAAUGCUAAUGAUACAAGAAAAUGUUGCUAUUAGUGAAAACUGGAGACUAUAAAACUACGUGGUAGUGAUGCUAUUUUUUUGAGACACAGAGAUGUAAUUGAGCGGUGGCUGGAAGGUCUUCCCACCACCAUACGAGUGUUUGUCUUUGGGUGCGGCUUCUUUGUUUUCCCUCUUUAAGCUCUUCUUUGAUGUCCACAAAUAAUUCAGUAGCACUAGCAUUUUAAGAUGUUAAAAGGACAAGGAAAGAGGACCCUUGGUUGAAACGAAUAGAUAGACCGGAUCUUACUGCCUUGCAGCUCCUCUAUUUCAGCUGCCUGGAAGCCCUGGACUCCCGCCUCUGAGAUGCCUUUAUUUCCCUAAGAAAGGAGAAGAGCAGUUGACCUCUGGGGCAGGGGGCGAAGGUGGGGGGUGCAGUGUGCAGGGUUAUUUGCAGUUGUUAAUGUCAGCGUGGGCUGUGAGCUCUGGGGUCCCCACAUGCACGCCAUCUGCUCACAAAACGUGCGCCGAGUUCCAGAGAGCACCUUGAGAUGGGCCCUGGCAGGACCGUCAGACCCCUGCCUCACUGAGAGCAUCCCAGACAGGCGUCUCCCAGGGCCAUGGCUCGCAGACGAGGCCGCGCUCCUUGCUGCUCCAGCAGGGAGCUCUCUGGGGCCCAAGCCCAUUUUCUUUGCUUUUUACGCUUUCCCCUUUCUUCCUGUGCUAGACGAAGCCUGCAGUGCCUGGGCUUCUCUUCCCAGGCCCAUUUGUUCUCAAGAAGGUCACUGAUGGGCACUUGUGGGCACUCAAACUGCCUAUUCAUUCUUGUCCAGCGUUCUGGCUCCUUCUCUCACCCUGUCAGUGACCCUCAGCAGCCUCUGGGGAAGGAACAAGGAGCUGCCGGACCCUGGGGAUGCAGAGGAAUUUAGGGGUCAGGCCCCAGCAGGGCUGCCAGGCUGGAACACAGAGGGCUUGUGUGAUGUCAAGAGGCUGCCCAACCCUAUUGGCAAGGAACACACUAUGGAAACCCCUUCUCCAUCCCGAAGAUCUCCAGGCUCUGCUGGUUCUCAUCCAAUGUGAGACUCGGAUUCAGGGUAUCAGUUGCUGGGGCCACCUGGCAGGGGGAGCACAGACUCAGAGCUGACCCCCUUGGGAGGACUCCAGAGCCCCACCACAUCCAGGCAGAAUGGAGAGAAGUCUCCCAAGAUGUCAUUUUGAAAGAUUAAAAGUCUCCCCAUUCUGGAUAAAGAAGAUGUGGUACAUAUAUACCAUGAAAUAUUACUCAGCCAUAAAAAAGAAUGAAAAAUGCCAUUUGCAGCUACAUGUGGACCUCGAGAUGAUCAUACUAAAGCUAAGUCAGUCAGAAAGAGAAGGACAAAGGCCAUAUGUGGAAUCUAAAACACGACACAAAUGAAACUAUCUAUGAAACAGAAGCAGACUCACACACAGAGAACAGACUUGUGGUUCCCGACAGGGUGGUGGGGAAGGGAUGGAGGGGGAGGCUGGGGUUAGCGGGUGCAAACAGCGUGGAUGAACAAGGUCCUACCGCACAGCACAGGGACCUGUGUUCAAUAUCCUGUGAUAAACCAUAAUGGAAAAGAACACGAAAGCGAGUAUGCGUGUGUUUAACCGAACCACUCUGCUGAACAGCAGAAAUUCACACAACAUUGCAAAUCAACUGUACUUAAAAAAAAAUCCCGUCCAUUCUAUGUUCUUACAAGCGUCCUUGCACCCCCCAGGCUGAGCAUCCACUUGUGGUCUUUCCCCAUCUGAAACUCACCAGUGGCGUUCCUGGGCAGGAGGAAUAAAAGCCAAAUGCUUACUAGGUCUUCUGGCUCCAACUUGCUCUUGAUCUGCCCUCUCCCUUCCUUGAUCAGCUCAAGUUCCCUUGCCCUCCUUUCUGCUCCACGAGGGUGCCAGGGUCCCUCCCCAGGCGAGGAGAUUGCACAUCCUGUUCCUAUAUCCCUUCAUCACACUCACAGCCCCAACCCCCCUACCCAACCCCACCGAACAGUGUGGGGUUUUUCGUGUGAUUCAGGCUCUCAGCUCAGAACAUCAUGAGGCCCCAUGAACGCCCCACACUUUCCCCACAGUCCUGAUUACAACGUAUGGUCGUUCUAUGUAUUUGCUCAUGUAACGCGUGCCUAGAAGGUGGGUUCCACAACACUGGAGCUUGUCAGUAGUGUCCACAAGCGACUCCCCAGGGCUAAGAGCCACACAGGGCAUGGAGCAGGUGGUCAGUAAGCCAUUAAUAGAUGAAUGAAAUGAUGGAAGAAAGAGGCUCUGACUCAAUGAUCAGCGGCUCUUGGUUGCAUGUGAAAACGUGCUUCCCUGGAGAAGACCCUGACUGUGCUGGCGUCUCGGGUGGGGCUGACGGACACUGGCCCCACUGCCCUGGCCUCUGGCUGAAAGCACGGGAGGACCAUAUCCCUGGGGGCUGUGAGACGUGCUCUCCCAGUCAUGGGGCACUGUCUCUUAUGGGCCUCCCACCCAGCCUGGGGCACCCUGGGGCCCAGGUGAGAGGAGCUGAGACUGGAAUUAGGGGGGGACAGCCUGGACAAAGCACAGAAUAUUAACCUGGGAGUGGGCUCACGUAGCCAGCUUCUGGAGAUGACGCCCCUGCAGGUUUGCCCCAAGGACGGUCGCACCACCUGCCCUGCCCCGCUGGGUGAGGCACUCCUAAUUUUCACUGUGUUUUCAUCUUCACCAGGGAGAAGAACUGGGGGAGGGCAUGUACUUUCUAAAUGACGCGUUGCUAUAGAAUUAUUCAUUUCUAACCUUUCAAAAGAGGCAGCAUUGUCCAAAAGAUGCCGAGAUGAUAACAGAGAGGGGCCGGGCAUCCUGCCCACCCCCACGCCCGCCCCCUCCCACCUCAUACACAAGCCACCGCCCAUAAACACCAAGGUCUGGCUAAGAACUCCCGAGAAGGACAGCAGAGGCCCAGGGAGACUUCUGGGUUGUCAGGGAUGCUGUGGUCCAGUCCUCCUCAGCCGGGCUUCUGGUUGGUGGGUGGGGAAGCAUGAAUGAAGGUGGCACCAUCCUAGCCUCAAGGGGCCCAUUGGGAGGGCCAGAUAGUACUGGCUUCUACAGAUGUGGCCCAAGGUACUCAGGAGGAUGGGUUUAAUUCCAGGGGCUGGGGAAGCAGACAUCAGGGAAGGAUGUUAGCAUGGACUUGAGAAAACAAAGAUGAUUUAACCAGAGGCACAUGUGAGAAGGGUGGUCCUGGCAGAAAACAACCAAACAGCAGACAGCAGGGAGAUAUAACCACUUGUGCAUUGUGGGAAAAUGACCAUGGUUCAUUGGGGAAACUAGACACAGUGCAUUGUGGGAACUACAGACAUGGUGCAUUGUGAGUACCAUAAGCCCUGUGAGGAUUGUGGGAACUACAGACACAGUGUAUUGUGGGCACUAUGAACACAGUGCAUUGUGGGAACCACCUGCAGAGCCCGAGAUUAGAGGGACCUGAGCUGAAAAGACAGUCAGAGGUUUAUUUAAUACAAUUGGAUUUUUCCUGACCCCACACCUUAUUCUUUUUUUUCCCCUUUUAUUAUUUGUCAUCAACUAAAAGCCUGCAUACAUUUGACUCAUCUAUCUUAUUUUUCUAUUGUCUGUUGUAUCACUAGAACAGAAACUCUAGGAGGGCAGGGAUUUGGUCAUUUUUAAACGGUAUCCCUAAUACUCCUUGACACACAGUAGUUGCUGGAUAAAGAGCCUGUAAGUAAACGAGUGCUGAUGGUCUUUCCUGGGCUAGCAUUGCCCAAGGAGCAUAGUACUCAGGCCUGAAAGUCUUACAUGUCAUAGGAACAAACACUCUUCCUUGUGUUACUUAUCUUUUAAAACUCACACUGGUAUGAUACCCAACUGGCCUUCAAUCUGUGCUUCAUGGGUAAUAUUGCUUAAAGGAAGACCAAGUUAGGAAAAAAAAAGUGAGCUCUUUUAAAGGAAAUUAUUAGUAUAACUGAAUGCAUGGUCCCAGUGGCAAACAGCACAGCCAAGGCUCACAAAUCAAAACUGACAUUCUUGAAAGGUGACUCAGGCAACAGUCCGGGGCACCAGGACAGGGAGAAGGGCGAAGAGGCUGUUCUAAGGGCCUGAGACAGAGGAGGUGGAGGCUGAGUGGAGGAGUGCAGGGGAGGGGCAGUGGAUGGAGAGCACUGGCAGGUCCUGACCAGGCGAGGAAGCUGAGAUGGGCAGAGUAAGGUACUGGGCCCCCACCUCUUUGUCUAGUUAAGGAUCAUUUAGCCCAGCACCUUCUGUUCAGUAAUAUUUAGAGAGGGAAUGAAUGAAGUGGAUGAAUGAAGAACUGCAAAGUCUCUACAUUCCCACAAUCCUUAGGGGCGUCUCUGGCCCUUUCCAGUGGCUAAGACUCCUUGCCCCUAGUGUAGGAGGCCCAGGUUCGGUCCCUGGGCAGGGAACAAGAUCCCCGGUGCAGCCAAAUAAAUAAUAAAUAAAAAUAAAUUACAAAAAAAGAAAAGAAGGGGGCGGCGGAGGGCCGGCCACAGAGGAGCCACUUCUGAGGGCCUGGGAGAGUGACAGGCUCACAAAAUGAAAAGGUUCUGCAGG
Long non-coding RNA from Bos taurus (domestic cattle), 9516 nucleotides. NCBI's taxonomy places the organism in Eukaryota, Metazoa, Chordata, Mammalia, Artiodactyla, Bovidae. The record is from Ensembl.